This 432-nucleotide long non-coding RNA is filed under the name Mytilus galloprovincialis (Mediterranean mussel). The record is from RNAcentral. Lineage: Eukaryota; Metazoa; Mollusca; Bivalvia; Mytilida; Mytilidae.
GGCAUAUAUUCAAGAUCAUUGAUGCUGUACUGUUAUUGACUUAUUAGCUGUUGUCUGCUUUCUUGAAAUUGACAUUGUUGUGAAUGUGUUUACUGUUAUUAUGAGAGAAAAAAUACCCUUAUUUUUUUAAUUUUUUUUUAAACUAACUGUAAUCUUAUUUAUUGGCCUGUUAAUGGAACCCUUCUUGCCCCCUUUUAAGAUAAGAAAAUAUGUUUACGAUUUUCGGGAUAACGAUCAUUUUGCAAGAUCACCAAAAUACGUUGUGAUUUAUACAAUACUUAUAUAAAGUAGAUGAUGUGGUAUGUUUGUUGUCAAUGGACAAAUUUCCAUAAGAAACCAAAGGAAGUAUGUGUUAACAACCAUACGUCAUCGUACGACCUUCAACAAUAACCCAUAAAAUAAAAAUGUAAAAGGUUUUGCAUAAAAAUGGAG